Molecule: ribosomal RNA, 431 nt
Filed under: uncultured microorganism
Description: bacterial SSU rRNA
Rfam family: Bacterial small subunit ribosomal RNA
Source: RNAcentral
GAGUUUGAUCUUGGCUCAGAUUGAACGCUGGCGGUAUGCUUAACACAUGCAAGUCGAACGGUAACAGGAGAGAGCUUGCUCUUUUGCUGACGAGUGGCGGACGGGUGAGUAAUGCGUAGGAAUCUGCCUAGUGGUGGGGGACAACGUGUGGAAACGCACGCUAAUACCGCAUACGCCCUACGGGGAAGGACGGGGAGUACUUCGGACCUCGCGCUAUUAGAUGAGCCUACGUUAGAUUGGCUAGUUGGUGGGGUAAAGGCCUACCAAGGCGACGAUCUAUAGCUGGUCUGAGAGGAUGAUCAGCCACACUGGGACUGAGACACGGCCCAGACCCCUACGGGAGGCAGCGAGUGGGGAAUACUUGGUACAAUGGGCGGAAAGCCUGAUCCAGCAAUACCGCGUGUGUGAAGAAGGCCUGAGGGUUGUAAAGC